GAAAUUUAUAGAUAUAAAUGCAUACAUUGAAAAUGACCUGUAUCAUAUUAAGGAAAUUUUCUUCUAUUCCUAGCUUAUUGAGUUUUUUUAUAAUAGUGCUGAAUUUUGUCAAAUGCUUUGUCUGCAUUAACUGAGAUGACCAUGUGGGGUUUGUUUCCUCCCUUCUAUUAAUGUGGCAUAUUAUAGGCUUUGAUCCUCAGACACCACCAAAUGUUGUACUUGGGCCAAUACCUGGCACUUUUUGUGUCUCUGCACUUGUUCCUGACAACUUCACCUCUCUAAGAAAUAUUUUAUAAUCUGUUUUUAAAUUGGCUUAAUAUUUAAGAAGCAAGAAAUUAUGACAGAUUGUUUAAUACAACAUGGUGUCAAACUACUACUUUGUUAUUUUCUCCCCGGGCAUAUUCCUUUUGUUGAUAAUGGAAAAAUAAUGGCUACUGAAGCAGACAUAGCUCCUAAGUCAUGAAAAGAAUUUUAAGAAAACUGUCUUAUUUAAAAAUAGGAUUUUCUUCCCCUUAGUUUUCACCGUAUUUUCAAAUCCUGCCCUUCUUGAAGUUAAGCUUCUUAUUCUACAAAGCUUUCUCUUUUGUCUGCAUUCCUUUACAGGAUCAUCAUUUAUAUCACACAUUCUAGUACAUUCUAGUAUUGUCAUUGUUCAUGUUGUGGUAUUGUUUCCAUGAAUGCCAUAAGCAUCUUCUUCUUCCUGUUUGUAAACAGAUCUAGCCCCAGAAAGAUGGGACCAGAUUGUUUUUGGAAAGUGUGCUACAAAAACAAACAAAAUAUGAAUGUUCUAUUAUAAGCCAGGUUACAAAGAAAAGAUGGGUUAGAGUGGGAUAUUUUCUUCCAGAAACAGAAUUUUUGAAGAAUCCCAGUGUUUCAUUUGUACCCAUGAGAUUUUAAUUUAUGAGGUGACUGAUGACACAG
This 921-nucleotide long non-coding RNA is filed under the name Pan troglodytes (chimpanzee). RNAcentral's name for it is "long non-coding RNA NONPTRT002090". Lineage: Eukaryota; Metazoa; Chordata; Mammalia; Primates; Hominidae. The record is from RNAcentral.